UGGGGGAUAUUGCACAAUGGGCGAAAGCCUGAUGCAGCGACGCCGCGUGGGGGAUGAAGGCUUUCGGGUUGUAAACCUCUUUCGCUAUCGAACAAGGCCCGCUUAGGGUGGGUUGAGGGUAGGUGGAGAAGAAGCGCCGGCUAACUACGUGCCAGCAGCCGCGGUAAUACGUAGGGCGCGAGCGUUGUCCGGAAUUAGUGGGCGUAAAGGGCUUGUAGGCGGCUUGUUGCGCCUGCUGUGAAAACGCGGGGCUUAACUUCGCGCGUGCAGUGGGUACGGGCAGGCUUGAGUGUGGUAGGGGUGACUGGAAUUCCAGGUGUAGCGGUGGAAUGCGCAGAUAUCUGGAGGGACACCGAUGGCGAAGGCAGGUCACUGGGCCAUUACUGACGCUGAGGAGCGAAAGCAUGGGUAGCGAACAGG
This 420-nucleotide ribosomal RNA is filed under the name bacterium. Its description in RNAcentral is "partial 16S ribosomal RNA". It matches the Rfam family "Bacterial small subunit ribosomal RNA", at positions 355 to 776 of the family's 1533-position model. The record is from RNAcentral.